CUGGCCUUCGGGUGUUUUAGAAAAUAGCUUGACCCCCUUCCUCCUCUCUGUGGCAGCCCCUCAAAUAUUGAAAGAUGCUCUCCUGUCUCCCCUGGUCCUUCUCUUCCCUAGACUAGCCAGGCCCAGUGUCCUGCAACCGUUCUCCAGUCCCCUCCAGAGUCUCUUUAUUUCCUAGUUUGUGGCCUUCGUACAAGAACACCUGCAAAGUAACCCCACUACUACAGGAUUUGCACCAAUUCCCCAAGCCACCCCCUCAAGAAAAACCCACACAUGGUGUAUAUCUUAGGAGUAGUUCCUCCCUGUGGUGGAUUUCAGCGCCUGGAACUCCCAGCACGAGUGCACCUAGAAGAUGCCCAGGUGAGGAGGGCAGCCUCGGACUAAGAUUCUAUCUUCCUGGGUCUUUUUGAGCCAUGUUCCUACCUGUGGAAUCGUGUUCCUUUUUUUUUUUUUUUCCCAGAUUGGGAGGGGUCUUAUUGUUUCUCUCAUACGGGUAGUCCUCGAAUUACGACCACACUCGAGCCUCAAAAUUGCCAUUCCUAAGCUAAAAACAUGUUCAGUGAGGUUCCAUUUUACGGCCUUCGUUGUUAAGUGAGUCACUGCCGUGGUUCCCUGAACGGCCGUUGUUGCUCGCUUAUCAACGGCAGCGAUUCACGUUAACGACUGUGGCAAGAAAGGGGGGGCAAAAUGGCAGGACUCAAAACGUCUCACUUAACGACCGAAAAUCUUGAGCGGUGUAAAUGGGAUUACAGGGGAGAAGAGGGGAUCUUUUGAGGAAAGAGAAGCUGAAUUUCAUUGGUUCGGGACUUUCUUUUUGGGCCAACCAACUAAGGAUUGUCACACUCUUAAUUUUAGGAAAAAGGUAGAAAACCCAGCACUGGGUUUGUGGGUGUUUUGUUUUGUUUUUUAGUUAGGAAAAAAUUAAGGUUUGGUGGUCCGUUAUGUAGAGAAAGUAGAAUAUUAGAGACGAUCCUCCUAAUCAUACAACUGAUUAAAUUAAAAGUCUUGAAAUUCAGGACAGAAAAAAAUGAAGUUGCUUCGGCAGGAUCUACUGAAAAACAUGGGCUUGAUUUCCACAAGAUGGGGCUGGACCGGUGAGGCCUUUGGAUUUCUCCAGUCGGCCAUUUUUAGUUCUGGCAAGAUGGUGGCCCUGCUCCCUGCCAGAUUUCUUAAUAGGAAAGAUGGUGUGUGAAGGAUGAAGGUGACUUUAGUCUGGUUGGUCUAGUGGUUAAGGCAACCAGGCUAAAAAGGAGAUGGUGAGUUCUAGUCCUGCCCCAGGUACGAAAGCUGGCUGGAUGACUGGAUCAGUCACACACUCAACUCCACUUCACAGGGUUGUUGUGGGCUGGGUGACUUUGGAUCAAUAACCAGGAGACAGUGAGUUCUAGUCCUGCUUUAGACAUACUGGGUGACUGGGUCAGUUAACUCUCAACUCCAACUCACAGGGUUGUGGGCUGGUGACUUUGGAUCAAUAACCAGGGGUAAGUGAGUUCUAGUCCUGCCACAGGUAUGAAAGCUGGCUGGGUGACUAGGCCAGUCACUCUCAAUUUAACUCCACCUCACAUGGUUGUGGGCUAGGUGACUUUGGAUCAAUAACCAAAUGACAAUGAAUUCUAGUUCUGUCCGAAGCAUGUCCAAAACUGACCAGGUGACUUUGGACUAAUCAAGAAAAAGUGAGUUCUAGUCCUGCUUUAGAUACGAAAGGUGACUGGGUCAGUCACUCAACCUAAGUCCACCCCACAAGUAGUUGUGGGCUGGGUGACUUUGGGUCAAUAACCAGGGGACAGUGAGUUCUAGUUCUGUCCUAAGCACGAAAACCGACCGGGUGACUUUGGACUAAUCCAGAAAGUGAGUUCUAGUCCUGCUUUGGAGGGGAAAGCCUGCUGGGUGACUGGGUCAGUCACUCGCUCUCAACCUAAUCCACCUCGCAGGGUGGUGGUGGGCUGGGUGACUUUGCUUCAGUAGCCAGGAGACCGUGAGUUCUAGUUCUACCCUUAGCGUGUAAGCCGCCUGGGUGACGUUGAGCCAGUCCUCGGGAGACUCGGGAAAUCUAGUCCCGCCUUAGGCACACGCAAAAAAAACCAGCUGGGUGACUUUGGACAGCUCUCUAGGCGACAAGGAGUUCUAGUCCUACUUUAGGCAUGAAAGCUGGCUGGAUGCCUAGGCCCAUCGCUCACUCUCCACCUAGUUCACCUCCCAGAGUUGUGGGGAAAAUAGGAAGAGGAAGGGCCAGUAGGUAUAUCCGCCACCUUGAAUUAUAUCUAAAAAUAAUUAAAAGGUGGGAUUU
Molecule: non-coding RNA, 2284 nt
Organism: Notechis scutatus (mainland tiger snake)
Lineage: Eukaryota; Metazoa; Chordata; Lepidosauria; Squamata; Elapidae
Source: RefSeq, a predicted model, not a curated record